Non-coding RNA from Struthio camelus australis, 1734 nucleotides. The record is from RefSeq and is a predicted model, not a curated record. NCBI's taxonomy places the organism in Eukaryota, Metazoa, Chordata, Aves, Struthioniformes, Struthionidae.
UUUUGCUCCCUCUCCCUUCUUCUUUAAAGCGUAAGCAUCUUCGGUAUAUGGAUAUAACUUCAAUCGGCUCUUUAUUUCAAAGCAUGAGAGUGUGUCAAGCUGGUUUAAAUUGUUACAUCAGCUGUGAAUUUUACACAGUGCCCAGACUGAGAAAAACCGGAGCGGGAGCGUGUGCUAUCAUCACUGGAAGGACAGACAAGUAAAAGUAAUUGCUUCAGGAUGUCUUAUAAGGCAAAUCCGUUGUAUGACAUGUAUUUUUAUACCUUCUAAACGCAAGGGCACCUGUUUAACAAUCUGGCAAGGCAGGAUCCUGGAAGCCUUGGGAACCUGGACAGCUGGAACUGAGACACCAGAGGCUGUCAUUUGUACUCUCUUAAAGAAAAUCAUCUGCGAGGGAAUUUCUGCACAGGCCCGGUAGCAACCGAGUAAUAUCUCAUCAACAGCGUUUCAAAGUAGGCCAUGUCUUAACAGCAGAAGGAUUGCAUGGUGUGUGACUCUUUGGGAAAAAUGGGAUUCUCUAUAAAAGGAUGUUUUCAAGACUUACUGGGUACAUUAAAACAGUCAGAUCACCCGAAGUUGUCAAUGCAUGUUUAAAGGAAGCCACUGAACCUUUUUGAUGUGAUCGUGUAUUUGCUAGUUCCCAAAGUGCAUUAUAUCACGUAACAAAAAACUUCAAGUGGAACAAGAAGUCAAAGCAGAGCAAGUAUUGCCUGCUCUGAUAAAGUAUCCUUGUCCUCCCGCUGUUGAAAAUUAUUUUCAGUGUAAGUCUUGCCUAACCAGUUCCAGAUCUUCCUAGCAACUAGAGAGACUAAUGGGUCCGACUGCAGACAUGCCGGGCUUGGGGGCAGUGUAUGCUCAGGUGAUACUAAAGCAGGGAUGGAAGCUGUUGAGAACACUCUGUAUGAGUGACUGCACAAGCUGAGGGGAGCGAAGAAGAAUAUGAGGAGAGCUAGAGGGCCUGUCCGAGCCCAAAACACUCACAAGGAUGUGUGCUUCACGUAAGUGUCCGUAUCGCGUUGUCUUCUCAUAAGGACCAGACAGAACAAUAUAAAUCAAAAGUAUUUGCUUUAUGUUAACAUACAAGUUUUGCAUGUUUAUCUCCACCCAGCAGUUACACAUUUUUGUCUUAAUUGCACGCUAGCUAUCGUAAGUUGAUGGCUGUGGAACAGUGAUUUUCUUAAUCUUGUCCAAUACCUGCUCUCAAGCUCCAGCAUUGUUUUGCAGUACAACAUGAAUAUAAACAUUUCUUUAGAAAUCUGAAAUGAAAAGUUUAAACUUUUUAAUGUUUUUGUCAAUAAUUUGUGUCAAGACAGAUUUAAUGCUCUGGCUUUUUACCUGUAUGUCUUGAUCUUAUUUUUUUGAAUAAAACUCACUUUAAACAGUGGAUAUCUUUUAUGUAGAUAUCCUUAAAUCCGCAAAGCUAGAUACUUACCCAUUCUACCUCCACUCAUAAACAACAGCUCUGAUAAUCCUCUAUACAGACAAUAAGCAUUCACAUGUGAGCCUUUAAAGUAAGUCUGUGCUGCAGACUUACUACAAUGAAGAAAAUGAUCAUUUAAUAUCAAAAAUAGAAAUUGUGCCAUCUCGGCUAGUUGUAAUAGAAACACUGUUUGCCUCAGUAGUUUUAAUAAGAGAUGGUUAAAGCAUUUCUGAUUAACAGCAAGUUCACUGAAAAAUAGUGCUUUGUCAAAGCACAAAGUAUUUUGAUGAGAUUUACAGCUUUUAGCAUACUUU